UUUUUCGUGCAAUUUGUUUCUUUUUUCCGAUGAUAGCAAUUUUCACGAUCUUUCUUUUGCUCUUAGUAUUUUCAUUUUGACAUUAUUUUCUAUUAAGACAACCAUCCCAAACUUAAAAUGUUAUUCUAUUAAAAAUCCUAACCUUAAAAUUUUGACAUGGUUAUGAUUUUCUUAUGACUACUUACUCCAAAGAGAUAAAAA
RNAcentral lists this long non-coding RNA (201 nucleotides) under Lathyrus oleraceus (garden pea). Its description in RNAcentral is "Pisum sativum (pea) long non-coding RNA (PSAT_LNC027134)". Lineage: Eukaryota; Viridiplantae; Streptophyta; Magnoliopsida; Fabales; Fabaceae. The record is from RNAcentral.